Molecule: ribosomal RNA, 807 nt
Filed under: uncultured bacterium
Lineage: Bacteria
Description: bacterial SSU rRNA
Rfam family: Bacterial small subunit ribosomal RNA
Source: RNAcentral
AGAGUUUGAUCAUGGCUCAGAUUGAACGCUGGCGGCGUGCUUAACACAUGCAAGUCGUGCGAGAAAGUCUGCUUCGGUGGGCGAGUACAGCGGCGCACGGGUGAGUAACGCGUGGAUUAUCUACCGCGAGGACUGGGAUAACAGGUGGAAACGCCUGCUAAUACCGGGUACGCAUCAUAUUUUAUAUGGUGGAAAGAUGGCCUCUGCUUGCAAGCUAUCGCCUUGUGAUGAGUCCGCGUCCCAUUAGCUAGUUGGCGGGGUAAUGGCCCACCAAGGCAACGAUGGGUAGCUGGUCUGAGAGGAUGAUCAGCCACACUGGAACUGAAACACGGUCCAGACUCCUACGGGAGGCAGCAGUGGGGAAUAUUGCGCAAUGGGCGAAAGCCUGACGCAGCGACGCCGCGUGAGGGAAGAAGGCCUUCGGGUCGUAAACCUCUGUCAGGAGGGAAGAAGUGGAGUAUGGCUAAUAUCCAUGCUCUUUGACGGUACCUCCGGAGGAAGCACCGGCUAACUCCGUGCCAGCAGCCGCGGUAAUACGGAGGGUGCGAGCGUUAAUCGGAAUCACUGGGCGUAAAGCGCGCGUAGGCGGCUUUGUAAGUCAAGUGUGAAAGCCCUCGGCUCAACCGGGGAACUGCGCUUGAUACUGCAUGGCUUGAGUCCUGGAGAGGGUGGCGGAAUUCCCGGUGUAGGAGUGAAAUCCGUAGAUAUCGGGAGGAACACCAGUGGCGAAGGCGGCCACCUGGACAGGUACUGACGCUGAGGUGCGAAAGUGUGGGGAGCAAACAGGAUUAGAUACCCUAGUAGUCC